Molecule: ribosomal RNA, 253 nt
Filed under: uncultured bacterium
Lineage: Bacteria
Description: partial 16S ribosomal RNA
Rfam family: Bacterial small subunit ribosomal RNA
Source: RNAcentral
UACGUAGGGGGCAAGCGUUGUCCGGAAUUAUUGGGCGUAAAGAGCGUGUAGGCGGCCAGAUAAGUCUGCUGUGAAAUCUCGAGGCUCAACUUCGAGCUGUCGGUGGAAACUAUCUGGCUAGAGUCCGGAAGAGGAGAAUGGAGUUCCUGGUGUAGCGGUGAAAUGCGCAGAUAUCAGGAAGACCACCAGUGGCGAAGGCGGCUUGCCGGAACGCGCUCGACGGUGAGGGAUGAAAGCUGGGGGAGCAAACCGG